UACGUAGGGGGCAAGCGUUGUCCGGAAUCAUUGGGCGUAAAGAGCGUGUAGGCGGCCCGGUAAGUCCGCUGUGAAAGUCCAGGGCUCAACCCUGGGAUGCCGGUGGAUACUGUCGGGCUCGAGUCCGGAAGAGGAGUGUGGAAUUCCUGGUGUAGCGGUGAAAUGCGCAGAUAUCAGGAGGAACACCAAUGGCGAAGGCAGCACUCUGGGACGUGACUGACGCUGAGGAGCGAAAGCCAGGGGAGCAAACGGG
This 253-nucleotide ribosomal RNA is filed under the name uncultured bacterium. Its description in RNAcentral is "partial 16S ribosomal RNA". It matches the Rfam family "Bacterial small subunit ribosomal RNA", at positions 524 to 776 of the family's 1533-position model. The record is from RNAcentral.